Non-coding RNA from Schistosoma curassoni, 48 nucleotides. NCBI's taxonomy places the organism in Eukaryota, Metazoa, Platyhelminthes, Trematoda, Strigeidida, Schistosomatidae. The record is from Rfam.
AUCCGGUUGACGAGUCCCAACUAGAACGAAACGCGCGUCAAACUGGAU